UACGGAGGGGGCUAGCGUUGUUCGGAAUUACUGGGCGUAAAGCGCACGUAGGCGGCUUUGCAAGUUAGAGGUGAAAGCCCGGGGCUCAACUCCGGAAUUGCCUUUAAAACUGCAUCGCUAGAAUUGUGGAGAGGUAAGUGGAACUCCGAGUGUAGAGGUGAAAUUCGUAGAUAUUGGGAAGAACACCGGUGGCGAAGGCGGCGACCUGGUCCUUUUACUGACGCUGAGGCGCGAAAGCGUGGGGAGCAAACAGG
RNAcentral lists this ribosomal RNA (254 nucleotides) under uncultured bacterium. Its description in RNAcentral is "partial 16S ribosomal RNA". It matches the Rfam family "Bacterial small subunit ribosomal RNA", at positions 524 to 776 of the family's 1533-position model. The record is from RNAcentral.